RNAcentral lists this unclassified non-coding RNA (293 nucleotides) under uncultured fungus. Its description in RNAcentral is "sequence contains ITS1". Lineage: Eukaryota; Fungi. The record is from RNAcentral.
GGGACUACCAGGGUAUCUAAUCCUGUUUGCUCCCCACGCUUUCGUGCCUGAUCGUCAGUUGUGAGCCAGAUAGCCGCCUUCGCCACCGGUGUUCCACCCAAUCUCUACGCAUUUCACCGCUACACUGGGUAUUCCACUAUCCCCUCUCACACUCUAGUACUGAGGUCUCACAGGCAGUUCCAGGGUUAAGCCCUGGGAUUUCACCCGUGACUCUCAAUACCGACUACGCACGCUUUACGCCCAGUAAUUCCGAACAACGCUUGCACCCUCUGUAUUACCGCGGCUGCUGACAC